UUCAAUAGAUCGGCUGAUGGGUCUAUUGAGAAGAUCGAAGCUCAGAAGCAAUUACAGAAUGAGAUUUUAAGCAGGCAGCAAGUGGAUCAAAAUAUACAUCAAAUCAUAGCACUAGUUUUUGGGGAAGAAAAUGUGUCGAAAAUGAUUGAGUCCAUUCGACCAGCAGGCCAGCCUCGGGUAAUUUUUAAAAUCCUCCCCUGAGGUUUGGGCUUGUUGCAAGUAGAUGGCGAGAAUCCGUUUAUUUAUAAAACAAUCCCUACCGUCAGUUAGUUUUUACAUUGACCAUUAGUUGACUGUGCAAAGACAAUAUUGUCGCUAUUGACAGUUUGUAGACUAACAUAGCUAAAAAAAUGCUGAGAUUGUUGGCACGAAAAUCACAAAUCCUUUUUAUUCCCUAAGGAUAAACACUCGCAUGAAGCUACAACAAUCCCCUGGCACUCGAAAAAAAGAACCUGCACCACCAAGACCAUAUAUUUCAUUUUUGCAAAAUAAUCAUUUUUGGUUGCUUAAUUUUGGAAGUAUAAUAAUAAUAAUAAUAAUAAUAAUAAUAAUAAUAAUAAUAAUAAUAAUAAUAAUCACAAAAAAUUAAUCUUUGGUGGAGAAUUUUAAAUUGAAACCGACUCAGGAACCUACAAUUGAUCAAAAGGAACCUAAUAGUAAUAAAAAAGUAACCGAUCAAAAAUCAUUAAGGAUAAUAAAAAUAUUGAAUUUAAAUAACUAAAAAUGCCAUCGGAAAUUGAAAUUAAUUAUUUAACAUAUAGCAUGAAACAAAUCUUCACUAUUGGUGCUAGGCGACUGUCAUUCAGCUUGGAUCUAAGAGGUGGCGCGUUCGAGGUCAAAUAAGCUGCAGCAGAGGUGGCAGGGGGCAGAUUGCAGCGAGGUCGCGGUGGAGCAAAGGUUGUGUCGCGGUGGAGAAGAGGUUGCGUUGCGCUGACUUGGCUUCACGGUGAUGGGAUGGCUGGGCUGGGUAGCCGCUUGGCCGGCUGUGUGUGCGCUGUAUUGGAUUGUAUUUUCACUUUUUUGAUAAUUUCUUGUGUGUUAAUUUAGAUUAGAUUAGUGAGUUUGUGUGUGUUGUGUGUUUACAAUUGAUUUGAUUAGAUAUUUAAGUUAAAACAAUUUAUUGCAAACUUUUUUUUGUAAGUUUGGCUUUUAUUUGUGUCAUAAUAAAGUAACUGAAAUGACUAGUUACUGUUCUCAAAGCAACGAAAGUUGCAAAAAAUUUGUUUUAUUGCGAAAUGUCAACAAUGCCCACAACUACCCAAACGGCAACCAAACGGAGCAAAAAUAUAGGGGGUUUUUUUACAAAUAAAUAAAUUCUCACUAUCUACUUGCAACAAGCUCAAACCUCAGGGAAGGUUUUUAAAAAUUACCCGGCCAGCCUCUUGUAGACGACUGGGAUUGCUUGAAAAUGCUUGUAAGUUUUUAUAUUAUUAUUAUUAUUUUUAAUUAAUUCCAUUAUUAUCUCAAGCAUACACACGUAGGCACACACAUAAUCAUUUUUAGGUGCGGCUGCCCUCAAUUUUUUCAAUGCAGCUGUCCGCAUGGUUUAACUGUGUGUGUAUAUAUAAUUUAAUUGAUUAUUUUGAUUAAUUAAUUAAUUAUAUAUAUAGGUGAGAAUUUAUGGGGAAAUUUGUGGAUUAUUAUCAGUAUAUGGAAAGAAGUACACAAGAGCACUGGCCAACAUGUGCAAUGCUGGAAUCAAUGAGAAGCAGAUGACUUUGGCAUCCAAUCAAGCUUGUAUGAAAUAAAAUAAGUAAAAUGAUUAUUUGAAUAAGUUCUUGAAAUAAAAUACGUCUUUGAAUAUUUGAAGAAUAUACCUAAAGCUUUUAAUUUCUCUGUUUAAAAAUAUAUUUUCUUUCUUUUAAUUUCUUUCUUUGAGGAAAAAAAUGUGAUUUGAUUUUCUUUUUAUACGGUUCAAUUGAUAUUGUAGCUAGUUGUUAUCAGGCCUAAAAACUUCAGUAGUUGGAUGAAAAUAACCCAAAAAGAAAAAUAAAUGAUAACAAAAUAAGAAUAAAGAAUAAAUCCUUUAAUUUGAAUUUUUUUUUUUCCCGAUAAGAUCAUUCUUUUAACCAGAUCCAAAGAAAUGCUUUAUACUUUUUUUGCAUGACACUUGAGAAAAGAAAAAAACACAUUAGAAGAAAAAUAAAGAAUUAUGAUAUUUCAAGACAACAGCUAUAAGAUAACAAAACCCAAAGCAAAUAUGAAAAAAAAAACAAUAAAAAAAGGCAUUAACAUUCUUUAUCCAUCCUUCAAUUAUUGCCUCAAUAUUAACAAAUCAUUUAAAAUCCCAAAGAUCAUAUUAAUUGUGCUAUUGAGGCUUUGGGACAUUGUAAUCAAAGGGUGAGAAAGCUAUCCUUUUUUUUCCCUAUAAAAAGUUUUAUUUUCUUAAUCAUUAUCAUGCGUAAUUAAAAAAUUAUCAAAAUCACCACCUAAAGCAACUUAUAAAUAUGAAAAUAGUGCUAAACAUCUCAAAUUUUUUAUUUUAAAAAAUUAUAUCAGAUUAUGUGACAUUCACUAAUUAGUUGGAGAGAUAAUAUAAUUAAUUUAUCUAGAUUUAGUAAAAAAUUAUCAAUUAUUCAAUUAAUAAAAUUUAGAAUAAAGAAUUUGGAAUGUCUGUCGUACUCUAAAUAUAAUAGGCACCAAAAUAAUGAAAAAUUAAAGUUUAAGAGUUCAAAAUAUUUUAUUUAUAGUCUCAUGAAUAGAACAACAUAAUUGCAAACGGCACAUUUUCUCACUAACGUUUCUUUGUUGGCACACGUAAUUAUAAAAAAUUUAGAACAGUAGUACCGAAUGAGCUUGAAUUAAUUAAUUGUAUUGUGUGUAAUGCAUUGAGGUAUGCUCAACUAAGAUUUGGAAAUUGUUUAAAAAAAAUGAAAUCAUGGAUAUAUUUUCAGAUAAUCCAUAAGUAUUUGAAAAAAAAUAAAGUAUUUAACACCUUAUUAUAUCCUGAUAAAUAUCUCUUCUACUAAACUUGACAAACACUAAUAUAACAAACCCCAAUUAUUUUCUCCUGUAUUCUUUUGCGCUCUCAUAGGUGUCAUUUUAUUUUUUUGAGUCUUUUGUUGCUAAAUUUUUAGAUUCAUGAUCAGUUCAUUUUCAUGAUUUUUUUUUUUAGUCUAUGAUCUUCAUCUAUACAAAUUUAAAAUACUCCCUUUUGUUUUCUUCAUUUUUUCAGAUUAAUUAUUUUUAAUUUUGGGAAACUAAUGUUUUUAAGUUUUGUAAAGAAAGAAAGUUUGGAGAGAAGAAUAAAGAUAACAAUACUUCAAAAGAAAUUACCACUUAUAGAAUUGUUUGUGUGAAAGGUAAGGUAAGAAGACUAUUAAAAAAAAUUUAAGAGUGAGAAAAUUGAUAGAAAUCAAAGAAAAUUUGGAAAUCAAAGCACACUCAAAUUAAGGAUGAUAAUUUAGAAAGAAAUUGUCUUUUUAGUAUUAAAUGAAUCAUAAUUGAAAGGGGGUUUUAAAAGAAUAAUAGAAAGGUGUUAAAAGCCUCUCUCUUUUCAAUUUCGUGUACCUUUCUAUUGUUUGGUUGACCACAAAAUGGGGGAAUUUAAUUUCCUUUGAAAUUUAAAUUCCAUCUAAUUAAGGGAUCUGAAUUAUUCGCGAAGAGUGAAGCAGGGGCAGAGCUACUUAUGGGUUGGGCCUAUAGCUCGUCCAAAAUUUUGAUAAAUUUACAAAAAUAUCAUUGUGCAAAAUUUUAAAAAUUGUCAUUGCUUUACACUUUUAUUUACAAUUACCAUUCUAUUAAUUUACCAUUUUACCAUUCAAAUAAAUAAAUAAAUAAAAUUAGCAUUUACUUAAUUCUUUGAGAACGUGCUCUCUUUGUUUGUUGGCUUCUUUGUGCUGACAUGCUCUACUUCUUCGGUUAUUCGUCUUCUCUUGGUAAGUAUAUAUAACAAAUUUAUUUUUUAUUUGAUUAUUUACAAUAUAUUUAUAGAUUGUCAGGUAGUAAAAACUAAAAAUCAUUUUCUUUACUUAGUUCAUGUUCUAAUUUUAUUGUGUAAGAUUAAAUUAUUGUUAGGUCAAACCAUUGAAUUCUAGCAAUUAAAAUUUAAAAUUGAUUAUUGAUAAUAAUAAAUUAGAGAUAAUUAUUUCAGUGAAAAAGAAGAAGUGCUGCAAGAGCUUAUCAAGACACCACUUUGAAAUAAGAUGGAGAAUUUUCUACAUCAGAUUAUAUGGUUAUCUAUAUUGAAAGAAAAUUUCUAGACAUUGUGAAUUCAAAUUCAAUAAUAGAUGAAUUUAAUUCUCGAAAGUUUAGAAAGACAGAAGUAAAAUAUUACUUAAUUGUAAUUGAAUUGCUUCUUAAAUUUGAUGUAUUUUCUUAUGUAUUAAUGAAAUUUUCAUUAAAAUUUAUAUUUUUAAUUGCAAUAAUAGUUGGACUUGGAAAAAAUUUAGCACACCCAAAAAAAAUUUCCUUACUUCACCCCUGAAAUGAAGAAUCCAAAUUCCAAAUUCGCUAGAAAUCGAAACUUCCAAAUCUACCUCUUUUAUACUUUACUAUUAAUUAGUUCAUUGUUACUAAAUCAAUUAUUAUUUAUAAUUUUUUUGUCACGUAAUUCAAUGGCAAAGUUUGAUUCAACAAGAAAUUUUUUUAAAAAGAUUUUUUUAUUUAACUAAAAAAAACUCGUUAAUUACACUUAAAUGUAAUUUUUUAUUUAAAAAUAAAUAAUAAUUGAGUAGGGGUAAGAAUACAUUUUAUAACUAAUUGUAGAGAUAGAAAUAUCAUUUUGUAGCUAUUACAAGGGCAAAAAAAGUUAUUUUAUAAUUAAUUUUAGGAGCAAAAAUAUCAUUUUAUAAUUAUUUUUAUGUUUCCAUUAAAGUUAACAGAUUAUUACCCGCUCAAGUAUUUUUUAAAAAAUAUGUCACUUUUUAAAAAUUUAUCAAAACAUGUGUCACCCAAGGGUAAUUAUUUCUGAUUUUUUAAAUUCUUAGGUGUUUGCCAUUUGAUUUAAUCAUGUAACAUAUACAUUAAUACCUAUGGCGAGAAAACAUAUCUCAUCCUUCUAUCAACAAACAGUAACCUCUAAAUCUUCCAGCUUGUUUUUGGGGUUUGAGGCAUUUUCGUCUUUCACUAUUCAAAUGGACGGUUAAGCUGAUGGCAGGAGUGGUAUGUAAUAAUACAGCAAACUCACCAUCUAAAUAUAAAUACAUGAAACUUCAGGGGAAGCUAUCUAAACUUUACCCUACUAGAAAAUGGGCCCAAUCCCCGUUAGCAGCCCCCAUUGAAAGAGUGCGGCAAAGCAACCACCUGGGUAAAAGUACAUCUUAAAAAUAAACAUGAAAAAGAAUAGGAUAUCCCUAUCUUAUAUGUAUAUAAGAUAUAUUUUUUCACAUAAAUAGUAUAUGUGGAUGAAAGGUUCAGAAUGAAAGAACCAUUGACACCGAAUUUAUUAUAAAUAAAAUUAAUUAUUUGUUUAUGACCUGAUUGAAGGUUGAUAUAAAUCUUGUAUUUUAUGACUUUAUAACGAUUUUUAGAAUUUCAAAGUUCAAACCCAUAAAAAAUGAUAAGUAAAGUGAGACUGAGAAUUCAUUUGGCUUGGCAAUGGUGAUGGUAAAAUGAAUUUUUUCCUCGGUUUAUUGACUGUUCUUAAUGAGUCGUGAUCUAAUAAUCAAUUCUUUUGUCCUUUCUCAUAUAUUUCCACGGAUAAAACUGUGGUGCAACUGUGGUACCGUGCCACAGUUGCACCUAACCGUUAGAUUCUCACUUAUUCAAGUGGACCCCACUCAUUUGAAUGGAUCCAACGGCUGGUGGAACUGUGGCACGGUACCACCCGUUGCACUGUAGACUGACCCUAUUUCCACAUAUGAAUAAUCAUGGUUUGACUAAAGAUUUUUUUUUUUUUUCCUCUAUGGACCAUUCACAGACAGUCAUGGUUUAACGAAAAAAAUUUCUCUCUCGUUUUUCCUUUAUUGACUAUCCUUAAUCUGUCAUAAUCUAGCUAAUAAUUUUGUUAUCUGUCCACUAUUAUUGAUCAAUCGUGAAUUCCUCCAUUUUAUUGGUUCCUUAAAAUCUUGAAUUUUUUAUUAUUACGACUUAUCUCGUUAUAACAAAUGAAAGAACGAGGAAGAGGAAAUGGAGAUAUGAAUCAAGUAAAAUUAUAAAAAGAUUCUAUUUUAUCUAAUUAAACUAUGUUGGGUUAUUUUUAGUGACCUCCCCUGAGAUUUGGUUUAUUAACAGUCUAAUAGAAAGUAUUCAUGUAAUUACAAAGACCUCCCUUAACAUUAGUAUAAAAAUACGUAAGCGUCAGUAUAAAAGGGUAAACAAGUAAAAGUAAACUUGAAAUUUAAACAAAAUCAAAAUUCAAGCAAAAUAUGCUUCAAUGUCCGUGAAAUGGAGACUUAAACACACCAUUACCCAGUCUAAAGUCAUUAUCCAGUAGAUGAAAGGAAAUGAUUUUUUCACAAAGUGUACUUCUCGUAAACACAGCUUACACUUGAACAAAACCCACCAUCAUUUUCAUCCAUGGAGAAGAAGCGUCUGCAACUCACAAAUAAUUUCUGAAAUCAUUGAUUUAUUUUCAUCUACUGCACAAGAUGACGUCGUGCGGUGGUCCAUAGCUUUCAAGAAGCGAGUAUUGCCAGCAUCUAGCGUCUAUCGUGAUUGGAAUUAGAUCGCAAGAAGAGGCCAGUCUUCGAAAACACAGCUUGCAUGCUUGAAUCAGUGGCUCACAAGAUAUUGUUGUUAUUUUAUUGAUUAAAAAUAACAAUGGGUCUGUUUUAAUUAAUGAAAGUCUGUUUUAAUUAAUGAAAAUGGUGCUGGAUGUUGUUUCUCUCUGGGGUUGUUAGUGUUGAGUUGAAAAAAACUAUUGGGUAAUGACUGAUAAGAGCAAUUUCCUAAUGAUUUAAGAGUUGUGUAAGUACUAGAUGUAGUUCAUCAAAGAUAGGUUCAGUUUGCUUAUAAUGUGAUAAUAUUUUAGAGAGCCCACAGUGGUUUAUGUGAUUGUUCAGUUUGGGGUCAUGACACUAAUUGAGUUGUGUGUUAGUUUCGGUUUGUGCAUGCCUUUGGUGUUCUUUUGCCUUAUUGUUGUAAUACCUUCAAUAAUUUGGUGGUGGUAUUUUUUAUUUUUAUUUUUUUGAGUAGGUAAUUUUGUAUUUGCUAAAUAAUGUGAUUGUAAUCACAUGUAACUUAAGUAUAUUGUUCUACACACAAUUUUUGCUCCCAUGUGAGAUGUUCUCUGUGUUUUUGUCUAAGGCUUUUGUUUGUUAUUCAAACUAGAAAAUAGUGGAUGCAAGACUAUGAAUUUGGCAUGUGAUAAACUUUGAAAUUGCCCUUUUUCUAGAUUAAAAAAUAUUGACUUGCCAUUUUCCUUGUUUGAUUCUAAUUUUCAAACAAGUGUGCCGAAAUCUUAAGUUCGAUUACAUGUUGUUUAUUGUAUUUCUUAUUUCAAAGUCUGUAAUCUAUCUGCGUGCAUCAUUUCAGAAGAAGAAUAAGCAGCUGCAGCAAGUCCAUUAGUUUAGGUGUUCCGAGUACGACAGAGAUGAUGCUCUAAAUCCAGGUUUGAGGCACCAACAAAACUCAAAGAUAUCAAUUAUAGAGUGGGAUUUUCAGGACCUGAAAUCCAAUUUAAUAAUUACUUGAUCUGGGUUUAAAUAUGGAUGGAGCAAAGAUUGGUAUCAGAAGGGUUUUAUGGUCGGUGCCAACGCAUGUACUAUCAAGUUUACAAUAUGAAAAUCAUUUCUUUUAAUAGCUCUGCUCUUGUGGCAUGUAAUAGUUAUGAAGUAGUUUGUAAUAAAAAAAAUCACAAUAAUAAUAAGCAUGCAGGAUGCAGCUAUGCCACCACACAUUAUUUCAAUUAUUUUUAUUAUUAUGCAAUGUCAAUUUUUUUAUUAAGCAAUUUCAUCUUCUUAAGUAAUUUGUUAUUUUGGCGAAUUACCCAUUAGUUCAUAAAUGAAUAAAGAAAUAUUUUGACAGGAAGGGUAUUUUUGGAUUUUCAAUAGUCAACUAACAGUCCACUUUACAGAAUACAAAUGUCAGGGGAGGUCUUUGUAAUUACGUGAAUACUUUCUAUCAGACUGUUAAUAUACCAAACCUCAGGGGAGGUCCCUAAAAAUAACCCAAACUAUACUAGUAUAAAAAUAAAGCUUACUCUAUUUAUAUUAUUAAAUAAAAUCAUUUGUCAAACAAUAUUUGGCAUCAAAGAGUAACUUGGUCGAAAUAAAAUAUUUGGUUGACGUUCGUUUCUUCCACAUAAAAAAUAUUAUGUGCACCCAACUAACAUUUUUUCAUAAAGAUUCCUUUGAUGAUCAUCAUAUAUCAUCAUCUCAUUUGAAAUAAAUAUUUUUACAUAAAAUUUAGAAUAUUGAGUUACUUUAAAACAAUCUCUCGUUAUUAUUAUUAUUAUUAUUAUUAUUUUAAAUCUAUAUACAACAUUGCCAUAGUAAUGCAUUUUAAGAAAGUUUUAUGGAGUACACAAUCCCAAAUUUUAUCAAUUAAAUACCCUUUGAGACAAUUGUUGGCAGGUUCAAAAAUAAUUUUUAUUAGGAAGUUUAAAAUUAAUUUUGAUGUUUGAUAAUUUUUUUUAAAAGAGUAAAUUUUGAAUUACUCCUUUUGUAAAAUGACAAUUUUUAAAAUAUGGUUUAAAUUGUUGUAAACUUGAAUUUAUUCCUUUUUUAUUCAAAAGAUUAGGCAAAAAUGAGGGUGGGUCGAUAUUGGCAAAACCAAUUCCUACAACACAUUCUGAUUAUGUUAAGAAAGUUUCAUUUAACAUUUUGCCUAUUUUAUAUUUUACCGACAACAGUAAAUGCCUGAGUCCAUAUUAACCAUAUAAACAUGUUCAAUAAUCACGAUUAUCAAAGAAUUUAAAGAUUAAUAUAGAAUUUAUAAAACGAGAAUCAGGCCUCAAACCGGACAAAACAGGAAUAUUCGGUCCGGUUUGAAUCCGGUCCGGAUGCUGUAACAUAAAUCUCGGUUGCUAAUUUUAUGUUUACAUGUCAACUUAUGACCUGGCAGUCCGCCACAAUCCUAUUGGUCUGCUGACAUGUCAAUUUUACUCGAACAAAUAUCCAAAAAAAUUAAAAAUAAAAAUAAAAGGAAAGUGAGAAAAAAGGAAAAAUAAUAAAUCUCGCUCAUGAAGUCUAAUUUGCUUCUCACUUAAAAGUCCUGCAAAUAAUAAUAAUAAUAAUAAUAAUAAUAAUAAUAAGAAUCUUGACAGAAGAUUGUGAGAGAGAGAGAGAGAGAGCUGUUAAAGAUCGAACAAGUUUCGAGCAUUUUUGCGUUUUUACAGAACUCCAUUGCAUUGGUAAUCUUCUACUUUUUCUCUGUUCAUUAUUCUGUGUUAAUUUGUGAAUCUGCUUAUAGAUCGAACAAUUUUGUGAUAUUUUUAUAACUCAAUUGUGUGUAAAUGCAUUUGGAUUAGGGUUUCGACGUUUAGAUCUUGCGUUUCGUUAUGUUCUGUUUCGUUGCCGUUAAAAUGUUGCAAAUGAAGGCUCGUUACAGUUGUUAAUUUCUCGAUGUCUCUUGUCUUAUUCAUUUGGUGCAAUUAAAAUGAUUUGAUUUAUUGGCAUUUGGUUUUCGUUUGAAUUUUUUUUUUUUUCAGGAUAAGUGAUGGUGAUAAUAUUUGCAAAUCCUUGAAUUCUUUUUAGAGUUUUAUUUGAAGUUGAAGGGGGGGAGUUGGCCCUGAAACGGCAGGGAUAGUGAAUUUAUCAAACACAAUGAUGAUGGAUGAUGAUAUGGAGAAUGGUGGUUUGGGGCCUUACCAAGAUCGGCCGAGGACGUUCCCCAACAUGCGUAGUAAAUCUAUUUUCAUAAAUUUAGUGAUGGGUUCCCCUUCAUUUUAUUUAUGGUGCUCAUAAUUAUAUGUCAUUUUGCCUUUUCAAUCCUUUGUUGGUUGCCCUUUUAGUAUAUUACAUGCAAUUUCAAUGGCUAUGGUUUUCUUAAAUUAUUUAUGUUGUUGUUGUUGUGUAGCUUCAGAUGGUCUAAUUGAAAUUACGAAUGUGGAUUAGUGUCAAAAUGGGAAGUGUUUGUAAAGUAGUAUAAUAGCAAUAAUAUAGCAAAAGCAAUGGGGACUGUGAUUAGUAAAGCUGCUAGUGGUAUAGGCAGUGUUCUUGGCACUGCUUUCGUGGCUCCAUUUAAGAGCAUCUUCAAUGGAUCUUGUGAGUAAGUAAUUCUAAUUCGUCAUCUCUCAUAACGCUUCUCUUUAUUCGUAUAAAUCUUUACAACAUUAAUUAUGUAUGUAAUUGCUUUAGUUGCUUAAUUAUACCAUAAUAAUGAAAGGGAGUAUCUUGCAAGUUACAAUCUAUUUGAUUAUUGCCAAUGUAAUGAUCUAUAUGUGUUCAUUUGAAAGAGGUCGUAUCAAUUGCUUUAUGCAUACAUGCGCGCGCAUUUAUUGAAUGGUGGUUUGAUUCCAUUUGCUUGGCUAUGCAGGGAUGUUUGUCCAGGACCAUGGGACAUAAUUUGUUUCAUCGAGCACUUAUGUGUCACCAAUCUGGUGAAACUGCUAAUGAUUUUGGGGCUGUGCUACAUAAGUAAUCUCAGCUCUCAUACUUAACAAUUCACCUUCCCAUUUAAGUUUAAUUUCUUUUCGAAUUCUUCUAUUUUCAUUUUGACAGUUGAUUGAAUGAACAAAUUGAUGAAAUAAACAAAAAUAAGACAAAUUAAUAAUUCAGAAAAUAUUUGGGUUUCAUAAAGAAUGUAACAGAACUCUCUCCCGAAUUUGUAUAUUUUGGAAUGGCAAUCGUUGAGCACAAAUCAUGAUAAUGCUGUUUGUUUCAAUCUUUGCUUAUAAAUGAUCUUAAGCUAAAUAUGGUAAAUUUUUGUUUCUUUUUGUUAUAUUUACUAGUUAUAUUUAAGUACAGCCAGAAUAGAAUUAACUGCUAGGUUUUUGUCAUUUAUUAUAUCAUUUUUCAUAUUUUCAGUUUUGUUGUUCUGCUACCUAUUGUUCAAAGUGGGAAUCUGCCAAUGCAUUGUAAGAAGCCUUUGUAAGAUGUGCUGGGCUGCUUGUGAAACAUACUGGUAUAUGGUUUAAUUGGAGUGCAUGAGUGCCAAAAUUUAACACUUAUCGGCGCGUUGAAGUUAUUCUAAAAUUUGUAAAGCCCGUUUAAAUAUAAGUUCUUGAAGAGCCGGCCUAUGUGAAAAUUAAAUUAAGUCUUUACAACGCACAUUAUCAUUCAUACGCAAAUAAUAGAUAUUUACCGAACCACAAAGGGGGGUAUAUGUCAACUAUCUAAAAGAAUUAAAUCAGUACGUAUUUUUCCAAACAUCAGGGUGAUAUAUGUCAUUACCUCUAAGGACUGUUUUCAGUUACUCACAAGCACUUCUUGACAAAAGCAUUGCCUCCAAGGAAGCAUAGAUUUUGCUUCGUCUAGGCUAAUAUUUCAUGCAACGCUAGAAAUUUGAAUUACUUAGUUGCUUUAUGCGAAAUGCAUUUUGGCUCCUCUUCAAAAAUUAAUUACACCAGCACAUGGAAAAUGCAUAAUUAAGGCUAGUUGAAAUAAUUUUCUCCUAUUUAUUUAUUUUGAAGGCCAAAAUAUUUUCAAGACUAGAGGAAACCAUUACACAAUAUACGAAACAAUUGAAUGGAAAACCAUUACACAUUAUUACUUUGUAUAACGGAUAUAGCUGAUAUUGAUCUUGGAUUACAGAUCCAUAUGGACAUAUGUAGCUUAUAUUGAUCCCAGAUUAGAGAUCAAUACGGAUAUAGCGUACAUUGGUCUUGGAUUAGAGAUCAGUAAUAAAGAAAAAAUCUGAAAAUAAUCAACGAUCAAACUCAGACACACGUAAUUACUAACUAAAUCUCAUACUACAAAUUUAGAUACGGACAAAAACAUUUAUUAGAUCUAAGGCAUAAAAUCAAACAAAUAAAAAAAGAUGGCUGAGAUUGAGAUUUAGAAUAAAAUUUCUUGUCAAUUUUGUGUUUCUUAGGAUAUAAAUAGAGGCCAAAAGUAUCGAGAAAAUAUCUUUUGGCUAUUUUUCUGAAAGUCGAGAGAAAUCCAUAAUCCAAAUCAAGAAAUUCUCUAAACACAAGCGUUAACAAAAACAUCAGAGCAUCUUUUGCAAGCACAUGCUCGAAUCCAAUUUGUGGAGACUCUCAUGGACAACAAAUCAACAUCGAAGCUUGUAGAGUAAACAAGUAUAAGUUACUAUUUACUAUUUCUUUAGUCGUUUUUGUCUAGCUAAUUGAAGGGGUUUUGAACCUUUGCAAGUCAUAAAUGAACUUUUAUAUUCAAACUAGGGUAGUUAAUUAAAUAAACAUAUUUAAAAACCACUCUGCAAUAACUUAAAUGGUAAAAGAUUAUCUAUACAAAACAAAAGAAAUAUGAAAUAUAAAAAUUCCAGCUAUUUGAAGACCAAGUUCUUUUCAUGUGAAAGAGGCAAUAUAUGGAGAAGCAUUUUGACCAAUUUAGAUAGAAAUGUGAAAUUAGUGCAUCCUUGCUUCACGAUUCUACCUUGCUAAUGUAGUGCUUUCGAGAUACCGCAUCAAUAACACAGAAACAAUAACUCUUAUUAAUUUUAGAAAUUUUUUUGAUAAUUUUAAUUAAACUUUUAUUUAUUUAUCUUGUUUUAAGUUAUAGUGCUUUAUCCUGAAGCAAUAACCAAUUAAUUGAAUUGCUUUCUGUCAAUGAAUACUAAAAGUUUCAAAAAAAAUUAAAAAAAAAAAGAAAGAAAGAAAGAAAGAGAUGCAAAUUGCUGUUGAUAAUUGAGUUUAAUUUGGGAAACAUAAAAUAAUUUAGCAUAACUUAUGUUGAAUGAAUGAAUUUAUUAAGUUGAUCAAAAAGAGAAAACAAAAAGAUUAUCCUAUGGAAGAAGAUAAAGCCAGUUUUGUAAUAUCUGGAAUGGUGGUGCACGAGGGUACAUUCUCUUACUAUUUAAUCACUUUACUAUUAUUAAUCAAUCUGAUUGAGAAAUGUUUAAUGUGCUAGGAAUUAAUGAAUGACUUAUGAGUUAUGACUAUCUCUUUUAAGUUUUUUCUUUUUUUUUUUAUUGAGUAUUUCGAUUUUCUGCUCACUCAUUUGAGAGGAGUUCAAAUUUAAAAUUUUAUAUUUCCACUGAAGAGAUUUUAUCAAUUCAACUAAUUAGUACUCAAUCUCUCUUUUAUUUUUAGCUUGCAACCACUAAUUGGCUUAUUUAGCAAGUUCUCUCAUAAUUGUUCAAAAUGUUCCAAUUGUUUCAAAUUUUGGACGGGUUUUAAAUAAAUGGACAGCAACAAUCGUGUUGACUGUGAUUUGACAAAAUGGUGAUAACUUAUUUUUUAAAAAAAAUUGCGAGGAAAAACCAUUUGAGACAAAAAUAAAAAACCUCAUAAUUUAUUUAUUUCUUUUUUUUUUCUAAUAGAAAUGUUCCCGCAAAUCCUGAAUUUUGACCCAAAAAAAUAUUAUAUAUCCCAAAAGAGUUUGUGCAAUCGUUUUACCAAAUUACACUCCCGGUCGUUUUUCCCUCAGUUCCGUAAAAGAUUGGAUUAUAUAAACAUAUAUGUAAACGAUUAUUAUUAUGAGACUACACAAUUAAAUAUAAAAAAUUUUAAUUAACAAUUUCUUAAUUUUCUCCAUGAUGAGGCCAAUGGUUUGAGUAUUCCAGUGGGUGUGGGAGCUUGGUAACUUUUAAUUAUUUUCUUUGAUUUUAGUUGAAAUUCAACUUUCAUACAUUCAAAUAGAUCUCAACGGACACUAAAUUAAGCUUCAAAAUUCCAAAAGACCUUUAGACCAAUAUUAUUUUUCUUACUCACUUAAUAAACGACAAAUAAGAUGGCAUAAAAAAGGUUAUUUAAUUAAGAGUUUUGUUAAUUUAUAAUUAAUGUAACUUACAAUCCUUGUAAUAAGACAGUAGAUUCCACUAUCAUAUCACAAAUUUUUAUAUAUUUUAUCAUAACUGUAAGUUGCAUAACUUAAUAAAAUCCCACAAUUAAAUAUCACAAUUUCUACCGUACAAUAUUAUGCCAUGGUUUUGUGCGGGGACUUUGAUCUUCUUUUUUUUUUUUUUUUUCACAAGACAAAAUUAGCAAAAACAAAGCCGACACACAAAACCAUGGCAUAAUAUUAGUGGCAGUAAGUGGUCUCAAAAUCAGGCGUUCUAGCCAGUUUCGUUUGGUGGGCAUAUAUGGCUACAAGACAAAGGCUUUUUGCCUGUCAGUUUCUUCAUCAUCAUCAUCGUCAUUAUUAUUAUUAUUAUUAUUUUCUCUAAAAUCCCAAUUGAAAUCUAACACAAAUAAGUAACCAAUUAAUUAAUUAAUGCUCUCUAAAACCCCCAAUUGAAAUCUCUCUAUAUAUAUGUACAUGAAUAUGCUUCCAAUUCUGCUCUGACACUCUCUCUCACUCACUAAUUUUGCUUCCACUAUUUAUCAAAAACAAUGAAUCAUUUCAUCCUCAUUGCUUCACUUCUUCUCCUUUUCUUGUUAAAUAAUUUUGUUGUUGAAGCUCGACAAAUUGCAAAAAGCACAACUACUGGAACCAGAUGGGUAGUUCUAGUUGCUGGAUCCAAUUAUUAUGAAAAUUAUCGGCACCAGGUUAAAUUUUAUUAAUUGAUUAGUUUUAAUUUUUAUUUAAUCUACAUACAAAUUAAUUUUGUCGAUUUUUCACCAUCAAAUUUGUUGGUUAUUUUUGCAGGCCGAUGUGUGUCACGCGUAUCAAAUUCUGAAAAAUGGAGGAUUAAAAGAUGAAAACAUAAUUGUUUUCAUGUAUGAUGAUAUUGCAUUUAACGUUCAAAAUCCAAGGCCUGGUAUCAUCAUCAACAAGCCGUACGGCCCUGAUGUUUAUAAUGGAGUCCCCAAGGUAUUUAUUUUAUUAUUAUUAUUUUUUUUGCUUGAUAAAUAAAUCAAACUUUUUUAAUUUGAUUAUAUGAUUCCUAUGGCUAUUUUACAGGAUUACACUGGUGAAAAUUGUACUGCCAAAAAUUUUCUGGCAGUGAUUCUCGGCAACAGAACUGCACUCACCGGGGGCAGUGGCAAGGUUGUAAAUAGUGGUCCGAAUGACUAUAUUUUUAUUUAUUAUGCAGACCAUGGAAGCGCUGGUAUGGUCGGUAAGUAUCAACAUUAUUAAUUAGUAAAAAUUAAUUGUUUUUUAACCUUUAAUUUCUUCUUAUAAUUUUUUUUUUUUACAUCAAUGUUAUAUUUUAUGAUGUUGCUGUAGCAAUGCCUACUGGAGAUGACCUCUACGCUAAAGAUUUGAUAGAGGUGUUAAAAAAGAAACACGAGGCUAAAUCUUAUAAAAGCAUGGUAAGUAAAUGAAAUCAAUUAACCAUUAUGCAAAUUUAAUUACUAGUUGAUACCUAAUCAAUUAAUUAACAAAUUUUUUUUUUGGUUGGUAAUUUUGGGGGGAAAUUAAUUAGGUAUUUUACCUUGAAGCUUGUGAAUCCGGAAGCAUGUUUGAUGGGCUUCUCACGGAAGACAUGAACAUAUAUGCAGUCACGGCUUCAACUCCUGCAGAGAGCAGCUACGCGAUGUAUUGUCCCGGGCAUUAUCCGAGUCCCGAGGAUGAUUUUGAAACUUGUUUGGGUGAUCUCUUCAGUAUUUCUUGGAUUGAAGAUAGGUCAAUUAAUUGAUUAUUUGAUUUUUCAUCGAUAAAUUGGAUGUUAAUUAAAAUUUAUAAUUUUUUUUUAAACUUUUCUGUGUAAUGGCGUGCAGUGAAAAACAUGAUUUACAGAAGGAAACACUACAGCAACAACACGGAGUGGUAAAAUCUAUUUUUUUGAUUAAUUAAAGUUACCACGUCUCUCUCUCUCUCUUUUUUUAAAAAAAAAAUAAAGUAAAAUUCUCUGGUUAAUUCCGUCGAGUUUUACAGGUUCGGAGGAGGACAUUGGUAGAUUAUUUAGACUUUAGCUCUCAUGUAAUGCAGUACGGAAACAAAGAGCUGAGCAAAGAGCCAAUUUUUACGUAUAUUGGCACGAAUCCUGAUAACGACAACUUCACGAUGAAGGCUGAAGAAUUUUCUUCUAACCCAUCAGCUGAAAUUGCUCAUUCGAGUCGUUUGACGAGGGGAGCUGUUAGUCAACGCGAUGCUCAACUUCAUUAUCUUUGGCACAGGGUAAUUCAAUUAAUCUUAUCCAAUUAUUGUUUAAUUAGAUCUUGUAAUUUGAGUUAUAAUAAUGUUUAUUCUUGCAGUUCAAUAGAUCGGCUGAUGGGUCUAGUGAGAAGAUCGAUGCUCAGAAGCAAUUACAGAAUGAGAUUUUAAGCAGGCAGCAAGUGGAUCAAAAUAUACAUCAAAUCAUAGCACAAGUUUUUGGGGAAGAAAAUGUGUCGAAAAUGAUUGAGUCCAUUCGACCAGCAGGCCAGCCUCUUGUAGACGACUGGGAUUGCUUGAAAAUGCUUGUAAGUUUUUAUAUUAUUAUUAUUUUUCUAAAUUAAUUCCAUUAUUAUCUCAGUAGGCACACAUAUAAUCAUUUUUAAGUGCGGCUGUCUUU
This 16326-nucleotide long non-coding RNA is filed under the name Citrus maxima (pomelo). RNAcentral's name for it is "long non-coding RNA (CMAX_LNC000326)". The record is from RNAcentral. Lineage: Eukaryota; Viridiplantae; Streptophyta; Magnoliopsida; Sapindales; Rutaceae.